GAAGAACGACGAUGCCCUGGGGGGGCGGGUAGGAUAUAUAGGUAGCUGGUGGCCAUGUUUAAAGCCUUCUGUCCUGCGUUUUAGGGACACGAUCGAUUCACGGCAUAUGUAUAGAUUUUUCAUCGGCCUCUCUCGGAUCAAAUUUUGUAUUUCUUCGCUCAUUCCCAAAGUUUCGGGAGCUGAGUCCAUCAAGCAAUUU
This 199-nucleotide long non-coding RNA is filed under the name Hordeum vulgare. RNAcentral describes it as "long non-coding RNA (HVUL_LNC020701)". Lineage: Eukaryota; Viridiplantae; Streptophyta; Magnoliopsida; Poales; Poaceae. The record is from RNAcentral.